RNAcentral lists this ribosomal RNA (244 nucleotides) under uncultured bacterium. RNAcentral's name for it is "partial 16S ribosomal RNA". It matches the Rfam family "Bacterial small subunit ribosomal RNA", at positions 90 to 334 of the family's 1533-position model. The record is from RNAcentral.
CGUGAGCGGCGGACGGGUGAGUAACGCGUGGGUAACCUGCCUCAUACAGGGGGGUAACAGUUAGAAAUGACUGCUAAUACCGCAUAAGACCACGGUACCGCAUGGUACAGUGGUAAAAACUCCGGUGGUAUGAGAUGGACCCGCGUCUGAUUAGGUAGUUGGUGGGGUAACGGCCUACCAAGCCGACGAUCAGUAGCCGACCUGAGAGGGUGACCGGCCACAUUGGGACUGAGACACGGCCCAG